This 531-nucleotide small RNA is filed under the name Histoplasma capsulatum. RNAcentral's name for it is "hypothetical RNA". The record is from RNAcentral. RNAcentral also lists the same sequence under 1 other name. Lineage: Eukaryota; Fungi; Ascomycota; Eurotiomycetes; Onygenales; Ajellomycetaceae.
UGGUUUUCCUGACACUUCUGGACUUUGUUCAAUCCCAGCAAUGAGAAGCAACGCUGCAGGCAACCGUGCACUGAUGCUCGCGGAUUAAACCAUCCUCUCUCAUCUAUCCAUGUGGCCAUCUAGGCGCACUGUUUUCACUUUCCGUGGCAGUGCUAAUAGCAAUAAUACGCUACAAUAAUGGAAUAACACUUACAUCCCGCCUCACCCUGGCGGAUAGUUGAUAUUUCCGAACAGCGCCCUACGCUCAAGAGACAACUCGGUAGGGCGGGGGAUAGAUAACUAUAUAACAUGCCUCCUACAUUACCAUGUUAUUGUCGAAUAUGUGCCACCAGCUUCUUUCUCUGCUUAAAUUCUCGUUUUACGUCUGCUUCGAUCAAGGGCCUAUCAGCUGAGUAUUUCGGCUGAAGCUAGCUGAUUUGCUGAUCCUUUUUUGGGGAGGUCUCUAGAGGGCGGGUAGUAGGUGGUCUCAAACAAGUCGCAUAUACUCCGCUCUGUUUAUUUCCACUCCCUGCAUUCCAACCAAACCAGACC